RNAcentral lists this long non-coding RNA (433 nucleotides) under Homo sapiens (human). Its description in RNAcentral is "HSALNT0375146". Lineage: Eukaryota; Metazoa; Chordata; Mammalia; Primates; Hominidae. The record is from RNAcentral.
AUCUGCCCCCCUUGGCAUCCUAAAGUUCUGAGAUUACAGGUGCUCGAAAUGUGAGUAAAAGCGACUACGACUUCUGUUCAGACUGAACUUCCAAAUGCUGGAAGCACGGUAAACUCGGCACAAGAAGUACUUGUGAAGGAAUGGGCUUCUAAAGAGCCUGCCAUGGACCCUUUCCACAUCUACUAAGAAGUUUUGGCAUUAUACCAUAGGCCCUCUGAAUGUAGCCAGAAACAAACAAACAAACAAAAAGCCAGCAUCAUCGGCACCUGGGGGAUUGUCAGAAAAGCACCCUCAGACCCAACUCCAUCCUAUGAAUCAGAGUCUACAGUUCAGCAGGGUCCCAAGGGGAUGCUCAAAAACAAUAACAUCUGAAAUGCACCGCUAUGCAUUCCUUUUCCUUAAGAAUAAAUUAAAAUCAAAUUGAGUGUUUUGA